GCGGUGGGCCGGACGAUCGCUGGUCCCGGGACUGCUCGCAGUCACCAGGACGGGAGGCAAAGUCCGGGCUCCCAGUUUGUCGCUUUAAGACAGGGCGCCGGGUAACCCCCGGCGGGAGCAAUCCCAGGGAAAGCGCCACAGAGAGCAAACCGCCGCACCGCCCCCGGUCGUUACUGGGGAGCUGCGGUAAGGGUGAAAGGGUGCGGUAAGAGCGCACCGCGCGUCCUGGCAACAGGCGCGGCACGGCAAGCCCCGCCCGGAGCAAGGCCAAAUAGGGGAGACGCGGAUUCGUCCGCUGAUCCCGGGUAGGCUGCUGGAGACGGCCCGCAAGGGUCGCCCUAGAUGAAUGAUCGUCGCCCCGCCCCCUGUGGGAAAGACGCGGGGACCAGAACCCGGCUUACAGGCCCGCCGCGUCC
Molecule: RNase P RNA, 416 nt
Filed under: Magnetofaba australis IT-1
Lineage: Bacteria; Pseudomonadati; Pseudomonadota; Magnetococcia; Magnetococcales; Magnetococcaceae
Description: Bacterial RNase P class A
Rfam family: Bacterial RNase P class A
About the family: Ribonuclease P (RNase P) is a ubiquitous endoribonuclease, found in archaea, bacteria and eukarya as well as chloroplasts and mitochondria. Its best characterised activity is the generation of mature 5'-ends of tRNAs by cleaving the 5'-leader elements of precursor-tRNAs.
Source: Rfam by way of RNAcentral